GACGAACGCUGGCGGCGUGCUUAACACAUGCAAGUCGAACGGAAAGGCCCUGCUUUUGUGGGGUGCUCGAGUGGCGAACGGGUGAGUAACACGUGAGUAACCUGCCCUUGACUUUGGGAUAACUUCAGGAAACUGGGGCUAAUACCGGAUAGGAGCUCCUGCUGCAUGGUGGGGGUUGGAAAGUUUCGGCGGUUGGGGAUGGACUCGCGGCUUAUCAGCUUGUUGGUGGGGUAGUGGCUUACCAAGGCUUUGACGGGUAGCCGGCCUGGGAGGGUGACCGGCCACAUUGGGACAGAGAUACGGCCCAGACUCCUACGGGAGGCAGCAGUGGGGAAUAUUGCAAAAUGGGCGGAGGCCUGAUGCAGCAACGCCGCGUGCGGGAUGACGGCCUUCGGGUUGUAAACCGCUUUCGCCUGUGACGAAGCGUGAGUGACGGUACUGGGUAAAGAAGCACCGGCUAAUUCCGU
RNAcentral lists this ribosomal RNA (467 nucleotides) under uncultured bacterium. RNAcentral's name for it is "partial 16S ribosomal RNA". It matches the Rfam family "Bacterial small subunit ribosomal RNA", at positions 28 to 506 of the family's 1533-position model. The record is from RNAcentral.